RNAcentral lists this ribosomal RNA (346 nucleotides) under uncultured bacterium. RNAcentral describes it as "partial 16S ribosomal RNA". It matches the Rfam family "Bacterial small subunit ribosomal RNA", at positions 338 to 681 of the family's 1533-position model. The record is from RNAcentral.
CCUACGGGUGGCAGCAGUGAGGAAUAUUGGUCAAUGGACGAGAGUCUGAACCAGCCAAGUAGCGUGAAGGAUGACUGCCCUAUGGGUUGUAAACUUCUUUUAUAAAGGAAUAAAACGAGGCACGUGUGCCUUUUUGCAUGUACUUUAUGAAUAAGGAUCGGCUAACUCCGUGCCAGCAGCCGCGGUAAUACGGAGGAUCCGAGCGUUAUCCGGAGUUAUUGGGUUUAAAGGGAGCGUAGAGGGGUUGUUAGGUCAGUUGUGAAAGUUUGCGGCUCAACCGUAAAAUGGCAAUGGAUACGGGCAGUCUUGAGUACCGUUGCGGUAGGCGGACUUCGUGUUGUAGCGG